This 244-nucleotide long non-coding RNA is filed under the name Anser brachyrhynchus (Pink-footed goose). RNAcentral's name for it is "lncRNA (ENSABRG00000020246.1)". Lineage: Eukaryota; Metazoa; Chordata; Aves; Anseriformes; Anatidae. The record is from RNAcentral.
GGAGACAUGGGCAGAAACCACUCACAAUAUCACCUCCCACCAUUCUCUGAUUGACGUGGGCAGAAACUCCAAGUAUAUGAGCCACAGCAUACUCCAGCAGGCCUUACCCAAACCCUUUAGAGCUCAGGAGACCAAUACAAAAACUGGAGACUGCUGCAAAGCAAUGUGCUGGAGUAAGAAGAUGUUCCGAAAAAGCUGGUGCAAUGUUGUGUGGAGAAUCUCUGAAAAUAUCCCACAUACAUGA